CGGGGCGUGGCGCAGCCUGGUAGCGCAUCUGCUUUGGGAGCAGAGGGUCGCAGGUUCGAAUCCUGCCGCCCCGACCA
RNAcentral lists this transfer RNA (77 nucleotides) under Amphiplicatus metriothermophilus. Its description in RNAcentral is "tRNA-Pro". It matches the Rfam family "tRNA". Rfam says of the family: Transfer RNA (tRNA) molecules are approximately 80 nucleotides in length. Their secondary structure includes four short double-helical elements and three loops (D, anti-codon, and T loops). Lineage: Bacteria; Pseudomonadati; Pseudomonadota; Alphaproteobacteria; Parvularculales; Parvularculaceae. RNAcentral also lists the same sequence under 5 other names. The record is from RNAcentral.